Molecule: ribosomal RNA, 387 nt
Filed under: uncultured eukaryote
Lineage: Eukaryota
Description: SSU rRNA
Rfam family: Eukaryotic small subunit ribosomal RNA
Source: RNAcentral
AGCUCUGUAAGCGUAUACCAAAGUUGUUGCAGUUAAAACGCUCGUAGUCGGAUUUUGGCGUGGUGCUUAUUAGAUGCCCAACAUUUUUGGUGUAUCGACUUAUAGUCCCGCCUUUGUGGAGGGGGGCGUGGUGGUGCUUUAUUGUAUUGCUGCGUUUCCGCCACUGUUUACUGUGAAAAAAUUAGAGUGUUCAAAGCGAGCGAUUGCCAAAUGAAUAGAUUAGCAUGGAAUAAUAGAAUAGGACCUGGUUCUGUUUUAUUGGUUUGUCGGAUUCAGGUAAUGAUUAAGAGGGACGGUCGGGGGCAUUUGUAUUCCAGGGUUAGAGGUGAAAUUCUUAGAUCCUUGGAAGACAAACAGCUGCGAAAGCGUCUGCCAAGGACGUUUUCA